Molecule: transfer RNA, 71 nt
Organism: Clohesyomyces aquaticus
Lineage: Eukaryota; Fungi; Ascomycota; Dothideomycetes; Pleosporales; Lindgomycetaceae
Rfam family: tRNA
About the family: Transfer RNA (tRNA) molecules are approximately 80 nucleotides in length. Their secondary structure includes four short double-helical elements and three loops (D, anti-codon, and T loops).
Source: Rfam
GCUGCUGUAGUGUAAUGGUAUCACAACACGUUGUGGCCGUGUUAAUCUCAGUUCGAUUCUGGGCAGCAGCA